Long non-coding RNA from Myripristis murdjan (pinecone soldierfish), 360 nucleotides. RefSeq lists it as uncharacterized. Lineage: Eukaryota; Metazoa; Chordata; Actinopteri; Holocentriformes; Holocentridae. The record is from RefSeq and is a predicted model, not a curated record. The transcript is spliced from 3 exons.
UGGGCCGGAGGGUGGAGUCCAAGUGAAAAGGCGCAACAGUCCCGAGGAAUUUCACCAGGAGGCUGACCAACAAAAGGGAUGCAGUGGAGGGUUAAGUCAACCACACUCAGCUGGUGCACCUUUUUCUUUCUGAAAUAUACUUUACCCACCCUUCUAAGGAAAUCAGCAUCAACAGCUGCCACAACCUGCAUGACAAGACACUGCAGCUGUCCAUGCCCAUACUGGGGUCAAAGGGGACAUCCUAAUGCUCUUCCCCCUUGAGACUGGCACCUGUUGGCCCUGUGUUGGCCCAGCCUUCAUAAAGACAACAGAGAUUUCAAUAAAGUGGGCUUAGAGCCACGAGGCCUGAUGCUGCCUCUG